Molecule: ribosomal RNA, 484 nt
Filed under: uncultured bacterium
Lineage: Bacteria
Description: partial 16S ribosomal RNA
Rfam family: Bacterial small subunit ribosomal RNA
Source: RNAcentral
GACGAACGCUGGCGGCGUGCUUAACACAUGCAAGUCGAACGAUGAAGCUGGAGCUUGCUCCGGUGGAUUGGUGGCGUACGGGUGAGUAACACGUGAGCAAUCUGCCCUUGACUCUGGGAUAACUGCGGGAAACUGUAGCUAAUACCGGAUACUUUCACUGGAAGGCAUCUUCUGGUGAAGAAAGAAUUUCGGUCAAGGAUGAGCUCGCGGCCUAUCAGCUUGUUGGUGAGGUAACGGCUCACCAAGGCGACGACGGGUAGCCGGCCUGAGAGGGUGACCGGCCACACUGGGACUGAGACACGGCCCAGACUCCUACGGGAGGCAGCAGUGGGGAAUAUUGCACAAUGGGCGCAAGCCUGAUGCAGCAACGCCGCGUGAGGGAUGACGGCCUUCGGGUUGUAAACCUCUUUUAGUAGGGAAGAAGCGAAAGUGACGGUACCUGCAGAAAAAGCACCGGCUAACUACGUGCCAGCCGCCGCCGUAA